Molecule: ribosomal RNA, 376 nt
Filed under: uncultured Glomeromycotina
Lineage: Eukaryota; Fungi; Glomeromycota
Description: eukaryotic LSU rRNA
Source: RNAcentral
GGAAAGGGAAACGAUUGAAGUCAGUCGUACUUACGGACAAUCAGCCUUUCGGGUGCGAUUAUGUGGAGCGUGAGGAGCUAAACACCUUCAUGUCUGCGUAUUUGUAUUCUGGGGUGUACUUGCCCGUGUGGUAGGUUAACAUCAAUUUCGGAUGUCAUAAAAUGGCUGGAGGAAUGUAGCUUCGGUCUCGUACUGAAGCGUUAUAGCCUUUGGCAGAUGUGAUGACCGGGAUUGAGGAUUGCAACGAAUACCUUUUGGGCUACCCGCCUGAUCUCUGAAAGUUGCUCUGGUGCCGAAAGCUUGCUUAUGGUUAUCAAAGUUGGCGUUCAAAAGGUUAGAACGGGUUAAAUUCGUUAAGGAUGUUGACGUAAAGGGC